GACGAACGCUGGCGGCGUGCCUAACACAUGCAAGUCGAACGGAACGGCCCUGCUUUUGUGGGGUGCUCGAGUGGCGAACGGGUGAGUUACACGUGAGUAACCUGCACCUGACUUUGGGAUAACUUCAGGAAACUGGGGCUAAUACCGGAUAGGAGCUCCCGCUGCAUGGUGGGGGUGGGAUAGUUUCGGCGGUUGGGGAUGGAAUAGCCGCCUAUCAGCUCGUUGGGGGGGUAGUGGCUUAGCAAGGCCUGGCCGGGUAGCAGACCUGGGAGGGUGGCAGGCCCCAUUGGGAUUGGGCUACGACCCAGCCUCCAACGGGAGGCAGCGGUGGAGAAUAGUACAUAGUGGGCGGGAGCCUGAUGCAACACCGCCGCGUGCGGGAUGACGGCCUGCGGGUAGGAAACCGAUUUCGCCUGUGACGAAGCGUGAGUGACGGUACUGGGUAAAGAAGCACCGGCUAACUACGUG
RNAcentral lists this ribosomal RNA (468 nucleotides) under uncultured bacterium. RNAcentral's name for it is "partial 16S ribosomal RNA". It matches the Rfam family "Bacterial small subunit ribosomal RNA", at positions 28 to 507 of the family's 1533-position model. The record is from RNAcentral.